GGUAUCGCCGUUAGUCAUGUGCAAAUAUGGAUAGCUGUUUUAGCCGUCUUUAUUGACUGGUUUAUAAGAGUUAUCAGAUAUCACUUUGAUUAAAUUAGAGUGCUUAAAGCAAGUGUGUUACUUGGAUAUAAAUGCAUGGAAUGAUGGAAUAUGUUGUUAUUCUAUUUGUUGGUUUUUGAAUGAUAAAAUGAUUGAAAGGAACUGUUGGGGGCAUUCGUAUUGUUGUGAGAGAGGUGAAAUUCUUAGACCACAGCAAGACGAACUACUGCGAAAGCAUUUGCCAAGAAUGUUUUCAUUGAUCAAGAACGAAAGUUAGAGGUUCGAAGGCGAUCAGAUACCGCCCUAGUUCUAACCAUAAACUAUGCCAACUAGCAAUUUGCUUUGUAUUUUUUAUGACAAAGUGAGAGGCCACGGGAAACCUAAGUAGGGUUAUGGGGGAAGUAUGGUUGCAAAGCUGAAACUUAAAGGAAUUGACGGAAGGGCACCACCAGGAGUGGAGCCUGCGGCUUAAUUUGACUCAACACGGGAAAACUUACCUGGUCCUGACACUAGAAGGAUUGACAGAUUGAUAGCUCUUUCUUGAUUUGGUGGAUGGUGGUGCAUGGCCGUUCUUAGUUGGUGGAGUGAUUUGUCUGGUUAAUUCCGAUAACGAACGAGACUCUAGCCUAUUAAAUAAUACACGGAACUUUAUCUUCCGCGGUAUUUCUUAGUGGGAUCAAGCG
Molecule: ribosomal RNA, 722 nt
Filed under: uncultured eukaryote
Lineage: Eukaryota
Description: SSU rRNA
Rfam family: Eukaryotic small subunit ribosomal RNA
Source: RNAcentral